Small nucleolar RNA from Cyprinus carpio (common carp), 145 nucleotides. NCBI's taxonomy places the organism in Eukaryota, Metazoa, Chordata, Actinopteri, Cypriniformes, Cyprinidae. The record is from RefSeq and is a predicted model, not a curated record.
CUUCAGUGAUGAUACGAUGACGAGUCGGAUCGAGGCCCGUCUCUGAGGACUCUGGCUCAGGCUCACGUUAUGUGCGUCUGAUUCAGUUCCUCAGAGAUCACGUGUCCUCUCAGAUUGAAGAUGUAGAGGCAUUUGUCUGAGAAGG